GGGCCCGUGGUGUAGAGGCCUAACAUGCCUCCCUGUCACGGAGGAGAUCGCCGGUUCGAAUCCGGUCGGGCCCGCCA
This 77-nucleotide transfer RNA is filed under the name bacterium. Its description in RNAcentral is "tRNA-Asp". It matches the Rfam family "tRNA". Rfam says of the family: Transfer RNA (tRNA) molecules are approximately 80 nucleotides in length. Their secondary structure includes four short double-helical elements and three loops (D, anti-codon, and T loops). Further hydrogen bonds mediate the characteristic L-shaped molecular structure. tRNAs have two regions of fundamental functional importance: the anti-codon, which is responsible for specific mRNA codon recognition, and the 3' end, to which the tRNAs corresponding amino acid is attached (by aminoacyl-tRNA synthetases). tRNAs cope with the degeneracy of the genetic code in two manners: having more than one tRNA (with a specific anti-codon) for a particular amino acid; and 'wobble' base-pairing, i.e. permitting non-standard base-pairing at the 3rd anti-codon position. The record is from RNAcentral. RNAcentral also lists the same sequence under 8 other names.